UGCGGAAGGAUCAUAGUAAUCGUCUUUGACGUUCUAUUUCCAUCGUCCUCGGGACGUUAAGGUGCUCUGGUCGAGGAUAAACGACCCCUCUGACCGAGGUUAAACGGUCGCUUGCCUGUGUUACCUCUUUUCGAGGCACACGUUAAAGAUCGUUCCGCGUUGUGAGUCUAACACCAGUUGUAAACUUUCUACAACCGGCAGCGCUGGAUCCCUUGGCACGUCAUUCGAUGAAGACCGUUGCAAAUUGCGAUAAAGUGAUGUGAUGCGCAAGUCCACCACUUAUACGUGAAUCAUCGAGUUGUUGAACGCAUUGCACCGCGCCCUAAUCCGGCUGCGGUAUGCCCCUUUGAGCGUCAUUGUAUUCCUUCGGGAGUCUUUCCUUGCUGAAAGACCCGAGCUCGGAGUCCUCGGUCCUUUGGAUCGUGUUCUCUCAGAUGCGUCGCGCCGAUCGCCUGAUGGGUACUGUAAUGCCUGAGCGUGGAGUCCCUUUGAGCUUGAGACGCGCUUGACCGGCCGUUGGGCUCGCGUCACCAAGUCCGCGUCCUUCUGGACGUCGGUACUACAACGCAUGACCUCAUUGGGGUAGGACAACCCGCUAGACUUAAGCAUAUUAAUC
This 616-nucleotide ribosomal RNA is filed under the name Tulasnella sp. 1 WZ-2014. RNAcentral's name for it is "eukaryotic LSU rRNA". The stretch from base 193 to 356 matches the Rfam family "5.8S ribosomal RNA". The record is from RNAcentral. Lineage: Eukaryota; Fungi; Basidiomycota; Agaricomycetes; Cantharellales; Tulasnellaceae.